This 392-nucleotide ribosomal RNA is filed under the name uncultured Serratia sp. RNAcentral's name for it is "bacterial SSU rRNA". It matches the Rfam family "Bacterial small subunit ribosomal RNA", at positions 54 to 444 of the family's 1533-position model. Lineage: Bacteria; Pseudomonadati; Pseudomonadota; Gammaproteobacteria; Enterobacterales; Yersiniaceae. The record is from RNAcentral.
CAUGCAAGCCGAGCGGUAGCACAGAGAGCUUGCUCUCGGGUGACGAGCGGCGGACGGGUGAGUAAUGUCUGGGAAACUGCCUGAUGGAGGGGGAUAACUACUGGAAACGGUAGCUAAUACCGCAUAACGUCGCAAGACCAAAGAGGGGGACCUUCGGGCCUCUUGCCAUCAGAUGUGCCCAGAUGGGAUUAGCUAGUAGGUGGGGUAACGGCUCACCUAGGCGACGAUCCCUAGCUGGUCUGAGAGGAUGACCAGCCACACUGGAACUGAGACACGGUCCAGACUCCUACGGGAGGCAGCAGUGGGGAAUAUUGCACAAUGGGCGCAAGCCUGAUGCAGCCAUGCCGCGUGUAUGAAGAAGGCCUUCGGGUUGUAAAGUACUUUCAGCGGGG